Molecule: small nucleolar RNA, 74 nt
Filed under: Leishmania donovani
Lineage: Eukaryota; Euglenozoa; Kinetoplastea; Trypanosomatida; Trypanosomatidae
Description: H/ACA box snoRNA LD4Cs1H2
Source: RNAcentral
CACGUGCCUGUGUAAGCAGACUGUGCAGAGCUCUGCAUCCGUUGUGCAGUCUGUGAUAGCAGCGACGGAGAUGC